Molecule: non-coding RNA, 86 nt
Organism: Diplodia corticola
Lineage: Eukaryota; Fungi; Ascomycota; Dothideomycetes; Botryosphaeriales; Botryosphaeriaceae
Source: Rfam
GCACCAAUAGCUCAGGGGCAGAGCGCAGGAUUGCAGUGAAAGUUGCUAUCAUCCCGAGGUCCCUGGUUCAAAUCCGGGUUGGUGCU